Molecule: ribosomal RNA, 548 nt
Filed under: uncultured bacterium
Lineage: Bacteria
Description: bacterial SSU rRNA
Rfam family: Bacterial small subunit ribosomal RNA
Source: RNAcentral
CAAGCGAAAGCGUUAAGUAUUCCACCUGGGGAGUACGCCGGCAACGGUGAAACUCAAAGGAAUUGACGGGGGCCCGCACAAGCGGAGGAACAUGUGGUUUAAUUCGAUGAUACGCGAGGAACCUUACCCGGGCUUGAACUCAGGGGGACGACGGCAGAGACGCCGUUUUCUUCGGACCCCCUGGGAGGUGCUGCAUGGUUGUCGUCAGCUCGUGCCGUGAGGUGUCGGCUUAAGUGCCAUAACGAGCGCAACCCUCAUUCUCGUUUGCCAUCGGGUGAUGCCGGGCACUCCGGGAAUACUGCCAUCGUAAGAUGUGAGGAAGGUGGGGAUGACGUCAAAUCAGCACGGCCCUUACGUCCGGGGCUACACACGUGUUACAAUGGGCGGUACAGAGGGCCGCGACCACGCGAGUGGGAGCCAAUCCUCAAAGCCGUUCUCAGUUCGGAUUGGAGUCUGCAACCCGACUCCACGAAGCUGGAUUCGCUAGUAAUCGCGCAUCAGCCAUGGCGCGGUGAACACGUUCCCGGGCCUUGUACACACCGCCCGUC